GGUCAUGCUUUUCCACAGCUUUCUUGAACUUCCUUGCCAUGCUUAACUUGUGUGUGUGUAUAGAUCACUAUAUAUCUGUAUAGUUAUACACAUUUAGCUAGCUAGCACCAUUGAAGCUCAAGAAAGCCGUGGGAGAACAUGGCAA
This is a non-coding RNA of Populus trichocarpa (black cottonwood), 145 nucleotides long. NCBI's taxonomy places the organism in Eukaryota, Viridiplantae, Streptophyta, Magnoliopsida, Malpighiales, Salicaceae. The record is from Rfam.